UUUUACUCUUUUAUGUAUAGGACAAGAACUACAGAAGAUACAGAGAAAUAAUAUACAGCAGAAAUGAUAGGCAAUGUAAAAUUUGCAGAAGCCAACUAAACCUAAAUGGUGAUCAGACAUCUUGGUUUUCAUGAUCAAUAGGUCAUUACUGAAGAGGAAACUUAAAAUUGAAAUUUAUUUACAUAACUGCAUAAUUGGAUUAAUUUGAAAUGGAAUGUGUGCUUUCCUGCAAAAAAGAAAUAGGAAAUUUCAACAUGUGAUAAUGACCAUAUAAAACAAAAUGGAGUUCUAUCAUAGAUACACAAAAACACUAUUGCAUAAAAGCAACAACAUAUCUUAA
This is a long non-coding RNA of Mytilus trossulus (common blue mussel), 340 nucleotides long. RefSeq lists it as uncharacterized. NCBI's taxonomy places the organism in Eukaryota, Metazoa, Mollusca, Bivalvia, Mytilida, Mytilidae. The record is from RefSeq and is a predicted model, not a curated record. The transcript has 2 exons.